This 2153-nucleotide ribosomal RNA is filed under the name human gut metagenome. RNAcentral describes it as "bacterial LSU rRNA". It matches the Rfam family "Bacterial large subunit ribosomal RNA", at positions 1 to 2004 of the family's 2925-position model. The record is from RNAcentral.
GUUUGUUUUUUUGAGCGUUCGGUGGAUGCCUUGGCAUCAGGGGCCGAUGAAGGACGUGGUGGCCUGCGAUAAGCCUCGGGGAGCCGGCUGACGGGCUGUGAUCCGAGGGUGUCCGAAUGGGGGGACCCGGCACGAGUUAUGUCGUGUCACUCGUACCUGAAUUCAUAGGGUGCGGGGGGUGACGCGGGGAAGUGAAACAUCUCAGUACCUGCAGGAAAGGAUAUUCCGUGAGUAGUGGCGAGCGAAAGCGGAUGAUGGCCAAACCUUGCGCGUGUGAUACCCGUCGGGGGUUGCGCGCGGGGUGUUGCGGGAUCGCGUGCGCCGGCUCCGACGGGCCGGCCGGCAGUUGCAGAAAACCAUGUGUCAGGGGAACCGGGUUGAAUACCGGGCCGCAGAGGGUGAGGGCCCCGUACCUGAACGCGCAUGGUCUGCCGAUCGCGUCUCCCAAGUAGCACGGGUCCCGUGGAACCCCGUGCGAAUCCGCCCAGACCGUUGGGUAAGCCUGAAUAUUCCUGUCUGACCGAUAGCGAACGAGUACCGUGAGGGAAAGGUGAAAAGCACCCCGGGAGGGGAGUGAAACAGUCUCUGAAACCGUGCGCCUACAAUCCGUCGGAGCCCUUUUGUGGGGUGACGGCGUGCCUAUCGAAAAAUGAGUCUGCGAGUCAGUGGCAUGUGGCGAGCAUAACCCGUGUGGGGUAUGCGUAGCGAAGGCGAGUCUUAAAAGGCGUUUAAAGUCGCGUGUCCUGGACCCGAAGCGGGAUGAUCUAGCCCUGAGCAGGUUGAAGCGCGGGUAAGACCGUGUGGAGGACCGAACCCACCUGGGUUGAAAACCGGGGGGAUGACUUGGGGCUAGGGGUGAAAGGCCAAUCAAAUUCCGUGAUAGCUGGUUCUCUCCGAAAUGCAUUUGGGUGCAGCGUCGGGUCAUUACGUCCCGGGGGUAGAGCUACUGGAUGCUUGCGGGCCCGUGUCGGGUACCAACAGCAACCAAACUCCGAAUACCGGUGACGCGUAUCCCGGCAGUGAGUCGGCGGGGGAUAAGCUUCGUCGUCGAAAGGGAAACAGCCCAGACCGUCGUCUAAGGUCCCGAAGCGUGUGCUAAGUGGGAAAGGAUGUGGAGUCGCAUAGACAGCCAGGAGGUUGGCUCAGAAGCAGCCACCCUUGAAAGAGUGCGUAACAGCUCACUGGUCUAGUGGUUCCGCGCCGACAAUGUAGCGGGGCUCAAGCACACCACCGAAGACGCGGCAGUAUUUUUGUACUGGGUAGGAGAGCGUCCCAUGAGGGGCGAAGCGGCCGUGUGAACGCGCCGUGGACUUCAUGGGAGUGAGAAUGCAGACAUGAGUAGCGAGAGACGGGUGAAGAUCCCGUCCGCUGGAUGACCAAGGGUUCCAGGGCCACGUUCAUCGUCCCUGGGUGAGUCGGGUCCUAAGGCGAGGCCGACAGGCGUAGUCGAAUGGAUGAACGGGUCGAUAUUCCCGUACCGGCUUUCAGCCGCCAAAACCGAGGCAGUGAGUACUAACCUCCGGCCGCGGGCUUACCUCCACUUCGGUGGUGGGAUGCCUUCGGUCGUUGGGACCGUAGCUGCAGUAGGUCAGCGCAGGAGUGACGCAGAAGGGUAGCCGGCCGCGGAGGUGGUCUUCCGUGGUCAAGCACGCAGGGCGUGGGACAGGCAAAUCCGUCCCGCAUGUGCCCGAGGUGCGAUGAUGGGGGCCGUUCGGCCCGAUAUCCGGUGAUCCCGGCUGCCGAGAAAAGCUUCGGCGUCAGGCUCAAAGCCGCCCGUACCCCAAACCGACACUGGUGGUCAGGUAGAGAAUACCAAAGCGAUCGAGCGAAUCCUGGUCAAGGAACUCGGCAAAUCACUCCCGUUCCUUCGGUUUAAGGGAGACCCCCGAUGGUGAACCGCCUCGCGCGGGGAGCUUUUGGGGGUGGCACAGACCAGGGGGUAGCGACUGUUUACCAAAAACACAGGUGCAUGCGAAGGCGCAAGCCGCUGUAUAUGCACUGACGCCUGCCCGGUGCCGGAAGGUUAAGAGGAUCCGUCAGCCCUGUGGCGAAGCGGUGAAUUCAAGCCCCGGUAAACGGCGGUGGUAACUAUAACCAUCCUAAGGUAGCGAAAUUCCUUGUCGGGUAAGUUCCGACCUGCACGAAUGGCGUAA